Molecule: long non-coding RNA, 247 nt
Filed under: Gossypium barbadense (sea-island cotton)
Lineage: Eukaryota; Viridiplantae; Streptophyta; Magnoliopsida; Malvales; Malvaceae
Description: long non-coding RNA (GBAR_LNC004463)
Source: RNAcentral
UAUAUAAAUUCCAACCAACACACCAGUACGGUAUACUGUGCCUUAACAGUACAUUGUGCCUUAACGGUACACAGUACCUAAACAGUAAUCAGUAACGGUAGUAGUAACAGUAACAGUAAUAGUAUUCAACACACGAAGUUCUGAAUCUGUAACAGUAACGGUAACAGUAUUCAACAUACAAAGUGUCGAAUCAGUAACAGUAACAGUAACAGUAGUCGGCACAUAAGUGCCUGAUCAGUAAGCCGGC